Molecule: ribosomal RNA, 379 nt
Filed under: uncultured eukaryote
Lineage: Eukaryota
Description: partial 18S ribosomal RNA
Rfam family: Eukaryotic small subunit ribosomal RNA
Source: RNAcentral
CAAUAGCGUAUAUUAAAGUUGUUGCGGUAAAAAAGCUCGUAGUUGGAUUUCUGUUGAGAGCGACCGGUCCAUACCAUGUAUGCGUAUCUGGCUUGCUCUCGGCAUCCUCUCGAUAGACGUUACUGCGCUUGAUUGCGUGGUGCGGAUCUCGGGACUUUUACUUUGAGGAAAUUAGAGUGUUCACGGCAGGCUUUCGCCAGAAUACAUUAGCAUGGAAUAAUACUAUAGGAUCUUGGUUCUAUUUUGUUGGUUUCUAGAAUCGAGAUAAUGAUUAAUAGGGACAAUUGGGGGCAUUCGUAUCAACACGUCAGAGGUGGAAUUCUUGGAUUGUGUUGCGACGAACUACUGCGAAAGCAUUUGCCAAGGAUGUUUUCAUUGA